AGAGUUUGAUCCUGGCUCAGAAUGAACGUUGGCGGCGUGGAUUAGGCAUGCAAGUCGAGCGAGAACCAGUCUUCGGAUUGGGGACAGCGGCGAACGGGGUAGGAAUACCUCGGUGACGUACCCCCAGAACGGGGAUAGCGGCGGGAAACUGCCGGUAAUACCCGAUGAUCUUCCUAGGUUUUAGUCCAGGGAAGCAAAGGUGCGAUUCCGUCUGGGGAGCGGCUGAGGUCGUAUUAGCUUGUUGGUGGGGUAACGGCCUACUAAGGCGAUGAUGCGUAGGGGGUGUGAGAGCAUGGCCCCCACCACUGGCACUGAGACACUGGCCAGACACCUACGGGUGGCUGCAGUCGAGAAUCUUCGGCAACGGGCGAAAGCCUGACCGAGCGACGCCGCGUGCGGGAUGAAGGUCUUCGGAUUGUAAACCGCUGUCGGAGGGGAUGAAGUGUAUCGGGGUACUCCCCGGUAUUUGACAGAGCCUCGGAGGAAGCACGGGCUAAGUUCGUGCCAGCAGCCGCGGUAAUACGAACUGUGCGAACGUUAUUCGGAAUCACUGGGCUUAAAGGGUGCGUAGGCGGCGGCACAAGUCAGGUGUGAAAUCCCCCGGCUCAACCGGGGAACAGCGCUUGAAACUAGGUCGCUCGAGUGAGGCAGGGGUGUAUGGAACUUCCGGUGGAGCGGUGAAAUGUGUAGAUAUCGGAAGGAACGCCGGCGGCGAAAGCGGUACACUGGGCCUUGUCUGACGCUGAGGCACGAAAGCUAGGGGAGUGAACGGGAUUAGAUACCCCGGUAAUCCUAGCCGU
This 800-nucleotide ribosomal RNA is filed under the name uncultured bacterium. RNAcentral's name for it is "bacterial SSU rRNA". It matches the Rfam family "Bacterial small subunit ribosomal RNA", at positions 8 to 803 of the family's 1533-position model. The record is from RNAcentral.